GUUGAUGCGUAGUCGUUGAUAGCACCAAAAAUAACUCUACUCACUACGUAGGUAGGAUGAGUCGAGAUCGUAUCCUCAGGGACUUUGGGCUAAGUUGAGAUUGCAAAAGAAAGAAACAUUAUUUUGAUUUAGAAAAUAAAUUAUCUUAAAAUUGAUGUAAUUAGAAAAUAAAGAGCUCGGGAGUUUUGAAUUAAUUUGUACUAGCAGAGUUGUAUCUCUUUUUUAAUUAAAUAGAUGCUAUUAAUCUUAGGAAAAAUACCUAUCUUUUCUUGGCACACCUCGUACCCGU
RNAcentral lists this long non-coding RNA (289 nucleotides) under Elaeis guineensis (African oil palm). RNAcentral's name for it is "long non-coding RNA (EGUI_LNC054092)". The record is from RNAcentral. Lineage: Eukaryota; Viridiplantae; Streptophyta; Magnoliopsida; Arecales; Arecaceae.